This 1917-nucleotide long non-coding RNA is filed under the name Triticum aestivum (bread wheat). RNAcentral's name for it is "long non-coding RNA (TAES_LNC010196)". Lineage: Eukaryota; Viridiplantae; Streptophyta; Magnoliopsida; Poales; Poaceae. The record is from RNAcentral.
GUUGCUCUGGCAAGAGAGAGGGGUCGUCGUCGAUGUAGUCGAUCAGUGGGGUAUCAGCAGCGGUCUCGAGGUCUACCGAAAAGAAGUAACGGAGGGGGAACACAAAUAACAGAGCAAUCAAAGCAUCAUAAGCAUAACAUGGCAAUACACGAUGUUAGGGGUGACCUAACGCAAUACUGGAUGCUACUGGCGAAGGGGGGAAACAUCCGAGAAAGAAUUCCCGGUGUUUCGCUUUUUUGGGCAGAUGAACCGGAGAUGGAUUGUUGCAUGUUCGAUGUGCUAGGGACGUGUGGCGGACGAACGGACUACGUAUUUAGAUUAGUCUCGCUUUUCUGAGCAACUUUUAUGUAUAAAACUUUUUCAUCCGAGCUACGGAUUAUUUUAUAUAAUUUUCCAAAGAUUUAAAGAAUUUCUAAAAUUAUGGAUUUGUUUUAAUCCGAAAAUAAACAGUAAACAGAAAAGCUGGGUGCACCCGGUGUAGUGCACCCAACAGUGCACUGGGGCUGACAGUGGGCCCCGGGGCUGCUGAGUUAGCCGCGAGCGGUUAACUAGUCAGAUGAUGAACAGUCCUGGAGGGGUCUGCAUGUCAUAGCCAUUGGGGUUAAUUUAAAUUAAACAGUGUUUAAUUUAUGGGGGUUUUACACAUCAGCGGCCAAUUAGCCUUAGUAUUAGUACUAAGACCCAGUUCUUUUGCCAGAAUUUGGAAAUUCUCCCAGAAUCCGACCCCUAUCCAGCUUCUUCCAGAAUCUUUGAGCCCAUUUAUUUUACAAUCCUAUCUAAUUAGACCCUAACUAGAUAGGAUUGUAAAACAAACGAGGCCCAAAGAUUCUGGAAGAAGCUGAGUAGGAGUCGGAUUCUGGAAGAAUCCUCAGAUUAUGGCAAAAGAACUGGGCCUAAAACUAAACUAAACAGGGGACAAAGGAGACGUGAAGCUUUUGCGGCAUGCAGAGUACACAUUAUUGCAUAUGGUUAUGGGCAUUUUUAUUUGUUUCUUUUUUACAACUAUUUUUGUGGGCUUUUAGUUGGGCAUUAAUGUGAUAAAAAUUUAAGGGACUAUGAAGCGGCUGGUGCAUUCCAAGUUCGAUGGGUUCAGCGUUCAGGCGUGACUUUCUACUGGGUUCAGAACACACUCGUACCCAUAUACACGUACAUGUAGAAAAAGAAGAUCGGGUACAUGUAGAAAAAGAAGAUCGUUGGGUUCAGAUACGGCUGUACGCUAGCUCCGCCGGCCAUGGAGCAGCAGCAGCAUAAAUACGCAGCGGCAGCGGCAAUAGAGGGAGCAUCAACAGGCCGCGAGAAGAAGCAGUGCAGCAACAGCGGAGAGCAGUAGUAGACAACGAGCAGCAGCAGUAGCGCAGCAACAGCAGCGCAGCCGGGCGCGGUGGCUAGCGGGCGGGCGGCUGCGCGCGCCGGCAGAGGUGGGGACAGCGAGAGAGGCUGUAGCGGGGCAGCAGGGAUGGGCGAGGACGUGCAAGGGCGACGGGAGGAGGGGCGCCCAGGGCGAGCUAGUGACGAUCAGAGGGCACCGGGAUGGCGGCCAUGGCGUGCGUGGAGCGAAGCUCCGACCGCGACGGCUAAGCUCGGGGGAGGGCACCUACGGCGAUGGAAUCGAUGGGGAAGAAGGGGGAAUCGAAGGAGGGCCUUACCACGGUCGCAUAGAAGGGGACGACGAGGUUGGGGACGCAUUGAAGGCGGCGGAUCGACCGCCGGUGGCCGCGGAUGCAGUCGGGGAGGAAUGAUGAAGACAGCGGCGAUGUGGCGUCCCGACUCGAUCCACUUGAUGAUGAAGAAGAAGUCGUCCAUGGUGAAGCUCCCGGACACGCUAGAUCAGCACGGAGGCAACGAUGGCCGCGACGACGACAUGGCGGCGGACGAGCUCGGGAUCGAGCAAUUGGAGAGGGAGAGGGGCAAGUGGGG